RNAcentral lists this ribosomal RNA (502 nucleotides) under uncultured Chloroflexota bacterium. RNAcentral describes it as "bacterial SSU rRNA". It matches the Rfam family "Bacterial small subunit ribosomal RNA", at positions 355 to 875 of the family's 1533-position model. The record is from RNAcentral. Lineage: Bacteria; Bacillati; Chloroflexota.
UAGGGAAUAUUGCACAAUGGGCGAAAGCCUGAUGCAGCAACGCCGCGUGCGUGAUGAAGGCCUUCGGGUCGUAAAGCACUUUUCUGGGAGAUGAGAAAGGACAGUAUCCCAGGAAUAAGUCUCGGCUAACUACGUGCCAGCAGCCGCGGUAAAACGUAGGAGGCAAGCGUUAUCCGGAUUCACUGGGCGUAAAGCGCGUGCAGGCGGUGCGGUAAGUUGGGCGUGAAAUCUCCCGGCUCAACUGGGAGAGGUCGUCCAAUACUACCGUACUUGAGAGCAGAAGAGGAAGAUGGAAUUCCCGGUGUAGUGGUGAAAUGCGUAGAUAUCGGGAGGAACACCAGUGGCGAAGGCGAUCUUCUGGUCUGUUUCUGACGCUCAGACGCGACAGCUAGGGUAGUAAACGGGAUUAGAGACCCCGGUAAUCCUAGCCGUAAACGAUGUGAACUUGGCGUUGGUGGUAAACUCAUCAGUGCCGUAGCAAACGCGAUAAGUUCACCGUCCG